GGAGGCGUCGCAUAGUGGUCCAGUGCGAAGGUUUGCUAAACCUUUGAGCCCAAAAGGCUCACGUGGGUUCGAAUCCCACCGCCUCCG
This is a non-coding RNA of Candidatus Gottesmanbacteria bacterium RBG_13_37_7, 87 nucleotides long. The record is from Rfam. Lineage: Bacteria; Candidatus Gottesmaniibacteriota.